Molecule: ribosomal RNA, 433 nt
Filed under: uncultured bacterium
Lineage: Bacteria
Description: partial 16S ribosomal RNA
Rfam family: Bacterial small subunit ribosomal RNA
Source: RNAcentral
AACGAACGCUGGCGGCAUGCCUAACACAUGCAAGUCGAACGAGACCUUCGGGUCUAGUGGCGCACGGGUGCGUAACGCGUGGGAACCUGCCCUUAGGUUCGGAAUAACUCCCCGAAAGGGGUGCUAAUACCGGAUAAUGUCUUCGGGCCAAAGAUUUAUCGCCUUUGGAUGGGCCCGCGUUGGAUUAGCUAGUUGGUAGGGUAAAAGCCUACCAAGGCGACGAUCCAUAGCUGGUCUGAGAGGAUGAUCAGCCGCACUGGGACUGAGACACGGCCCAGACUCCUACGGGAAGCAGCAGUGGGGAAUAUUGGACAAUGGGCGAAAGCCUGAUCCAGCAAUGCCGCGUGAGUGAUGAAGGCCUUAGGGUUGUAAAGCUCUUUUACCCGGGAUGAUAAUGACAGUACCGGGAGAAUAAGCUCCGGCUAACUCCGUG